UCUUCCCUCUUUCUUCGUGCUUAACACAUGCAAGUCGAACGGAAAGGCCACAGCUUGCUGUGGUACUCGAGUGGCGAACGGGUGAGUAACACGUGGGUGAUCUGCCCUGUACUUCGGGAUAAGCUUGGGAAACUGGGUCUAAUACCGGAUAGGAAUCACAUGUGGGUGUGUGGUUGGAAAGCUUUUGCGGUAUGGGAUGAGCUCGCGGCCUAUCAGCUUGUUGGUGGGGUAAUGGCCUACCAAGGCGUCGACGGGUAGCCGGCCUGAGAGGGUGUACGGCCACAUUGGGACUGAGAUGCGGCCCAGACUCCUACGGGAGGCAGCAGUGGGGAAUAUUGCACAAUGGGCGCAAGCCUGAUGCAGCGACGCCGCGUGGGGGAUGACGGCCUUCGGGUUGUAAACUCCUUUCGUCAGGGACGAAGCGAAAGUGACGGUACCUGGAGAAGAAGCACCGGCUAACUACGUG
Molecule: ribosomal RNA, 466 nt
Filed under: uncultured bacterium
Lineage: Bacteria
Description: partial 16S ribosomal RNA
Rfam family: Bacterial small subunit ribosomal RNA
Source: RNAcentral